RNAcentral lists this unclassified non-coding RNA (363 nucleotides) under uncultured bacterium. RNAcentral's name for it is "contains 16S-23S intergenic spacer region". The record is from RNAcentral.
UCCGACUAUACGCCGGCAGUCCCCUGUGAGUAUUCAACACAGGGCAAGGGUUGCGCUCGUUGCGGGACUUAACCCAACAGCUCACGCCACGAGCUGACGACAACCAUGCAGCACCUGUCUAGCACCCUCGAAGGCCGCCCUAGUUUCCUAGGGCCUGCAGCUAGAUUUCAAGCCUUGGUAAGGUUCUUCGCUCAGUAUCGAAUUAAACCACAUGCUCCACCGCUUGUGCGGGCUCCCGUCAAUUCCUUUGAGUUUUAGCCUUGCGGCCGUACUUCCCAGGCGAGAUACUUAACGCGUUAGCUUGCGACUCAGAAACUGUCGAAAGUUCCUAAGCCUAGUAUCCAUCGUUUACGGCGUGGACUA